GAUGAACGCUGGCGGCGUGCCUAAUACAUGCAAGUCGAGCGAACGGACGAGAAGCUUGCUUCUCUGAUGUUAGCGGCGGACGGGUGAGUAACACGUGGAUAACCUACCUAUAAGACUGGGAUAACUUCGGGAAACCGUAGCUAAUACCGGAUAAUAUUUUGAACCGCAUGGUUCAAAAGUGAAAGACGGUCUUGCUGUCACUUAUAGAUGGAUCCGCGCUGCAUUAGCUAGUUGGUAAGGUAACGGCUUACCAAGGCAACGAUGCAUAGCCGACCUGAGAGGGUGAUCGGCCAAACGGGAACUGAGACACGGUCCAGACUCCUACGGGAGGCAGCAGUAGGGAAUCUUCCGAAAUGGGCGAAAGCCUGACGGAGCCACGCCGCGUGGGUGAUGAAGGUCUUCGGAUCGUAAAACUCUGUUAUUAGGGAGGAACAUAUGUGUAAGUAACUGUGCACAUCGUGACGGUACCUAAUCAGAAAGCCACGGCUAACUACGUG
This 497-nucleotide ribosomal RNA is filed under the name uncultured bacterium. RNAcentral describes it as "partial 16S ribosomal RNA". It matches the Rfam family "Bacterial small subunit ribosomal RNA", at positions 28 to 507 of the family's 1533-position model. The record is from RNAcentral.